Long non-coding RNA from Hypanus sabinus (Atlantic stingray), 1136 nucleotides. RefSeq lists it as uncharacterized. NCBI's taxonomy places the organism in Eukaryota, Metazoa, Chordata, Chondrichthyes, Myliobatiformes, Dasyatidae. The record is from RefSeq and is a predicted model, not a curated record. The transcript has 3 exons.
AAACAUCUUGGUUUCUUCCUUAAAUAAUCUAUCAAUGUUUAAUGAUGUCAUUGGGCCUCUCAAACAACCGGGGGAAAGAAUUGUUACUCUCUCUAGAUACUGGCUAAUAAGCGAAUUGAAAAUUGACAGUUUCAAAAUAGAGACCUAUUGUACUUCAUACAUCUGCAGAGACCUCAGCAUCUAUCAAAGAAGGAAGAGCCUCAUACCCUGGGAAAUGAUGAAGCAGAUGCUGAAUGAGCCACUGCUAAUUCUUCAUGGUGCCUGGUACUGGAAGAUCGAGCUGCAUAAUCUGGUGUCAGAUCUUCCAAAAGUCCUGAAAUGCCUUUUAAUGUUUCCAAAGCAUCCAGUGUUAAUUUUAGUUAAUUACUAUUUAAUAGCCACUGAGAAAAGACAAUUAAUAGCACUGCAAUGUUUUUAAAUAAUGAUUUUUCAGUCAGAAGUGACUGUGCAUGAUUUAGUACUGGUACUAUCAACUUUCUGUAAUUUUAAGCCCUUUUAUCAUAUCUUUACAGCUUUGAAUUAUCACUAUGACUGAAAAGUGCUGAGUGUGUUCUGAGAAGCCACAGGAGCAAUAUUUUCAUGCAAAUACAUGAACAGUUACCUUGACAACAUGACUCAAUAAAAUGAUGAAUCCAAUAUAAAGAAAACAGCUACAACCAAUAUCAAAAUACCAUGGACACAGCCUCUUUCCUCCUUGACUAAUUCUAGUCUGUGCCUGUUGGACACCAUGCUGACCUUAUCUCCUUCCUCCCUUCACACUCUAAAUAGAACAUAUGCCAUGUCCAAAAUACAGAGUAGCAGAAUUAGUCCAUUCUGCACAUCGAAUCUGGGAGCAGCUGAUCUAUUUCCCUCACAACCCCAUUCUCCUCCUGUCUUUUCCUGUAACCUUUCAUGCCCUGACUUAUCAAGGAUCUAUCAACCUCCGCCUUAAGUACACCCGAUGAUCUGGCCUCCUGUGAUAACAAAUUCCACAGACUCGCCACCCUUUGGCUAAAGAAAUUCCUCCUCAUUUCUGUUCUAAAUGGACGUCCCUUUAUUUUGAAGCUGGGCCUUUGGUAUCAGACUCAGUCUCUAUAGGAACCAUCCUCUCCACGUCCACUCUAUCUAGUCCUUUCAACAUUUGAGAGGAUUCAAUG